AUUGAACGCUGGCGGCAUGCCUUACACAUGCAAGUCGAACGGCAGCACGGGAGCAAUCCUGGUGGCGAGUGGCGAACGGGUGAGUAAAGUAUCGGAACGUGCCCAGUCGUGGGGAUAACGUAGCGAAAGUUACGCUAAUACCGCAUACGAUCUGAGGAUGAAAGCGGGGGACUAAGCAGCAAUGUUUGGCCUCGCGCCUUUGGAGCGGCCGAUGUCAGAUUAGGUAGUUGGUGGGGUAAAGGCCUACCAAGCCGACGAUCUGUAGCUGGUCUGAGAGGACGACCAGCCACACUGGGACUGAGACACGGCCCAGACUCCUACGGGAGGCAGCAGUGGGGAAUUUUGGACAAUGGGCGCAAGCCUGAUCCAGCAAUGCCGCGUGCAGGAAGAAGGCCUUCGGGUUGUAAACUGCUUUUGUACGGAACGAAAAGGCUCUGGUUAAUACCUGGGGCUCAUGACGGUACCGUAAGAAUAAGCACCGGCUAACUACGUG
Molecule: ribosomal RNA, 493 nt
Filed under: uncultured bacterium
Lineage: Bacteria
Description: bacterial SSU rRNA
Rfam family: Bacterial small subunit ribosomal RNA
Source: RNAcentral